RNAcentral lists this unclassified non-coding RNA (289 nucleotides) under fungal sp. RNAcentral describes it as "partial internal transcribed spacer region". The stretch from base 1 to 46 matches the Rfam family "Eukaryotic small subunit ribosomal RNA", at positions 1786 to 1831 of the family's 1831-position model. Lineage: Eukaryota; Fungi. The record is from RNAcentral.
AAGUCGUAACAAGGUAUCCGUAGGUGAACCUGCGGAUGGAUCAUUAACACUACAAAAAAACAAAACCUUGCUUUCCUAAAAACAAAGCAUAACCCCAUAACUUUGCGAACUUGUCAACGGGGAGGGAGGAGGAAGCAAUUUCUCCACCUCUCUUCCGUUCGUUUUUCUCCCUUUUUCACCGUUAUUUAUUAAACCCCAAAACAAAAACAACAAACAAAACUUGACUAAGACAAAAAACAAAUGAGAAAACAAAAUAAUACAACUUUUAACGACGGAUAUCUUGGCUCUC